RNA transcript from Columba livia (rock pigeon), 3813 nucleotides. It is a transcript of the gene named zinc finger DHHC-type palmitoyltransferase 4, with no coding region annotated. The record is from RefSeq and is a predicted model, not a curated record. NCBI's taxonomy places the organism in Eukaryota, Metazoa, Chordata, Aves, Columbiformes, Columbidae. The transcript is spliced from 8 exons.
CUCUGGCACCCCAGCCAGGGCUGAGAUCCCAAACUCACCCCUUUCCUACAGCUCGGGGAACACAAUGGGCAAGAGGUGGCUCCCUGGGAAAAGGGAACGUGACGCCCAGAGCUGCUGCAGAACACAAAGGGAUUCGGCUUUGGAGAUUUCACCAAAGGCAACAAAGCUGGAGAAAUUGUUGCAGAUUCCCAAGAAUGGCACAAGAUGCGCCGUGGCAGCGUUAACGAGAAACUGCUGGAAACGAGAGAACAGCAGGGCGAGGAUGGACUUUCUGACGCUCUUCUCGAUUUACUUGGGUUUGGUUCUCACCGCUCUCGCUCUGCUCUGCGCCUGCUCGGGAAGGAAGGGCCGUGUCCUCAGCAGCAGCGCCAGCGGUGCAGGCCAGGUGUUGUCCCUUGUAAUCCCCACACGCCUCCAGAGGGUGACACAGUGGGCACUGCACAGGCUCUUCCACACCAGAAGCUGCUUGUUUGUUGUGCUGCACAUGGCCUUGCAGGCCGCGGUGUUUGGGGAAUACACCUGGGAGGUGUUUGUGUACUGCUGGGAGCUGCAGUUCCCGCUCCCGCUGCUCCUCCUGCCCUACGUGCUGCUGGCGGGGAGCACGGGCGGCUUCCUGCUCUGCUCCCGCACCGACCCGGGUAUAAUAACAAAAUCAAACCAUGCAUCCUUGGUUAAGAUGUAUGCAUAUGAUGGUGUGUUAUUCCAGAAGGGCGUCACAUGUCCUACGUGCAAAAUGGAGAAGCCAGCCAGAUCGAAACAUUGCAGUAAGGAUCUUAACUGCCUUGAGAAGUGUAACUCUAAGCCUUUCCCAAAGUCUCUGCAGCGCGUGUGUGCAUCGGUUCGAUCACCACUGCGUGUGGGUCAACAACUGCGUGGGUGCCCUGACCGCGCGCUAUUUCCUGCUGUACCUGUGCACGCUGGCGGGCGCAGCCGCAGCCAUCGCUGCCAUCACAGCCGCGUUGCUCACCCGAGUGGUGCUGCUCUCGGGGGUGAUGCACGGGAGCUACAUCGACGAGCAGGGACAGGAGCGCGCUGUGGACAUUCUCUUCCUCAUUCAGGAUUGUAUUCAUGCUGGGGUUCGUUACUCUUCUCACGCUCGUACUGGGUGCGUAUUGCUGCUUCAGUCUGUACUUGGCCUUCACCAACCAGACAUCCAACGAGUGGUAUAAAUCCCGAAGAUAUGGGUGUUCUCACCAUCAGGCCUUGCAGCCUCAUGACAGACAAGUUGGCUACAAAAAUAUUUAUUCUAAAGGAGUCUGGAUGAAUUUAAAGGAAAUCUUUACGCCUCCUACAGUGUUGGAAAGACAGAAGAAAACAUGAAGGAACAUCUCAGGGCUGUACCGUCCUGUGAAGCCACUUACCUACAGAAGCAUUCUCAUUCUCUCCCUUGCUCUCUGAACAAUUAUAGCGGCAAACUUAGGGCUGGUCAAAUUCCCCAAACUGGAGAAAACCAGUGAGUGUUACAUGAACAUCUGUCACUGGCCACAUGGGGUUACACAAUGACAGUCUGGACUUCCACCUCCCCCUCCUGGGAAGAGAUCACAAACUCUCCCGCAUGUUCCAUUAUCUCAAUGUCCUCAGACGCCACCAUCGUCACAGUUGCUUCUUCAGUCUGGAUGCCGCCCUCGGUGGUCAGCACCGCUCCCUCCCCGAUGGCAGACGCCAGCGUCAUCGCCACCUGCUCCGUGAGGCUCUCGGGGGUGGCGAUAGUGAUGGUGUCCCCAGCAUCCGUGGGGACUUCAGAGUCUUCUGCCACGGUGACAUUCUGGACAAUGAUCUGGUGACCAGAGUUUGCUUGAUUUACUAUUUGUUGCACGACCUUCAUGAUGUGGCUGUCAACCUACAUGAGGAGAAAUGAGGCCAUGUUGUUUCUCAGUGUCUUGUACUCUGUCAGAAGUACAGACACUUCUCGUCCCUGUCAAUGUGUGAUGACCAGCAGGGCAGCACAACAAGCACCACUUCAUUCCAGUUUCCUCCAGCUGUUCACUGGAGUUCUCACUGCCCCAAGAACAGCGACUCUUCAAACAGGGCACGUGAAGAUGUUUUGUCAGCAGGGAACUUCCUACAGAACAUCAAAGUGCUGUUGACAGAAAAACCCUAACAAUGCACGUCCAAGCACUUCAACUGGCUGAGCCAAGUCUUAGCAGGACUUAGUUUACUUAGCAUGACUUUUAGACACUAGAAGUGAUUCAUUUCAUCUAGUCCCCAAAAUAAUAGUUUAUGUGGCUGCUUUACCUCAUGUCUUGUUCCCUCUAUGAUUUCAGUAGCUUCGCUCGUCUCCAUAUCUUCAGUAGCAGUCUUGAAAGACAAAAUACAAUUAUUCCAUUUUUAGAUUAUUACCAAGAUAUAAGACACUAAGAUCGUUUACAAAAGUCUUUCUGUUUCCCCCAUGAUGCAGUAGCUACUCUAAAGACAAGUGUUCCUUGAACUUCCCUCCAAAUCCCAUUAUCGAGAGCUACUUAAAAGUGAUUUGAAGUGCUCACAAGUGACUGAAAGAACAUCCUCUCUCAGCAGGACUUGGCCAACUGGCGGAUUUUUCUCCCAUUGGAGAAAAAUGGUGGCAGCACUAAAGGGUCCCAAGAAAUGAACUGUGUUGUUCUGCACAGAUGAGUACUGGCUCUUUGACACAAGGGGGAGAAAGGAAAAAUGCAGAAUUCGUUGCUUUUGGCAGCCACAGCCAGUUAACAACAGCAGAUAUUAUUUUGGACAAAACAAGCAAAAUAGAACUGGGAGGAAAGAGCAGAUAAAAGUUGAGGGAAAGCUGAAGCAAGUUUGUGAGGACAUAAAAUCUGUCGCAGUCAGUUCUCAGUCAGUCUGCCCUGCGUUCUCAUUUUCCUGCCUACGUUAUUUGCAGAAGGUGAAGCAGGCACCCAGCGCUCCUGGCAAACAAGAUUAAUCCGACUUAUUCCUAGGGCUGCGUGAGCAGGGCUAGCAUCAGAUCCUAUUUUACCUUCUCCCAAAAGCCCAGAGGAGGAACACGCACAACUGCAGUUUUUACCGACAAACAGGGAGCUGGGUUGGGCCCGAGGAGGCUGUUUGCCCCACCUCACCUCGAUGAUGUACUCCUGCGUGUCCGCCACCACCGAGGAGAACUCCACCAGCACCGUGUGAGGAUCUUCAGAAAUGACUGUUGCAGCCAGGUUGUCGGCUGACUGACUUUCCUCGGACACUAUCACUUCUUCCACCUCUUUCAAAGCAAGCAGACAGCCACCUGAAUGGGAUUCCAAAAAUGCCAGAAAAAUGGUGUUUGUUAUAACCAUCUCAAGUGCAGGAGUACCGGAGAAAACCGCACAGCACAAACGAAACCCCUUUAACAGGACAGCACCGAGAAAGGACCAACAGUCACACAACAGGCUCUCAUACCCCAAAACGGGCCAAAGACCGGCUGAGAAGGGGCCUGCGUGACUGCAAACAGAACUGAGCCUGGAGCAGAGCAAUGCUCCAGGACCGUUCAAAAAAACCACACAAGUGAAUUCAGAUGCAUAAAACCAUACAGGAUUUCAAAAGCCAUAUAUGAAGAACAUACAGUAAGACUUUGUGUGUGUUUUGAGUCAUAUAUAUUUUCUGCUUAUGCGUUACGCUUCAGGAAACUCUCUUUUUCCUUCAGUAAACUUGCCCUUUACAAUCUCGAUGCAUCGUCAUCACUACCUGAAGAAGUUUGAAAAUCCGUGCUUAGGAGCUAAAGGAGCAGCAGGUCCAGUAAAACUAAUCUGAUCAAACAAGAUUAUCUGUGAGACCUCACUCUAUUUAAAACAUUUUCCUCGCACAACAUCCACACUUUGUGUUUUUACAAGAUUUCAUAAAACCCCCAAA